CGGACGGCUGAGUAAUGCACAGGAACGUACCCGGAAGUGGGGGAUAGCCCAUCGAAAGAUGGGGUAAUACCGCAUGUGAUCGCAAGAUCAAAGCCGCAAGGCGCUACCGGAGCGGCCUGUGUCCUAUCAGGUUGUUGGUGGGGUAAUGGCCUACCAAGCCUAUGACGGGUAGUUGGUCUGAGAGGAUGACCAGCCAGAUCGGGACUGAGACACGGCCCGA
Molecule: ribosomal RNA, 220 nt
Filed under: uncultured bacterium
Lineage: Bacteria
Description: partial 16S ribosomal RNA
Rfam family: Bacterial small subunit ribosomal RNA
Source: RNAcentral